UGGACCCCACCGCCCCCCCUCCCCAACACACACAUCUCUGAGAAAGAAGAAGUGGCAGCCAGAACAGGGAACCAGAAGCCAAAACAAGGGAUGAAGGCAAGGGUCGCUUACGACCACGCCCCCACCCACACUUGACCCAGUGGGUCGAGGGGGAUUUUGAUACAGUGGCAGCUGGGAAGCCAAGAACAGAAAGCCUUUAAUCCGUGCAACCUAAUGCCAAGAUUCCGCCAGAGAGAGCCCAUUUCCUGCGCUGUCUGCACAUUCCUCCCAUUCUUCCCGAGCACCUUCUCCCAGUGACCCCUCUCCAUGCAGCCUCUGUUCUCCCCCCACGGCUAACUGCUCCUUUCUUCUAGAAAACAAGUCCUGUGGCCAGAAGGAUUCCAUAUACUUCUGCUUUCUCUUCGAGAUCCCCAGGUCCUUAGGAGCUUUUCCUUUCUCCUCCGGAUGCUUCGUUUGGCCUCUGCCACACACCAGGGCAUCGCCGGGAUGCGCGGGGACAAAGCAUCGUAGCCACUUUUAAGGUCCCUGCCCAGACCACGACUCUCGGAACCGUUGGCCAUACCAGCAGAGUGAGGCCCCAACACUGUGUUUAUACUUCGUGACCCCAGACGUGGACUGUAGGUGACUGCACAAGAGAUGGACAGCUGUCCAGGUGAGCCAAUCUGAUUCUCCCUCCCCAGAAUUUGAAACUGGGUCAGGUUGGGUCAAAGUUGGUCUCUGUUAGACCUGAGGUAGUCAUACUGGCUCAGAGGACAGAGAGGUCAGAGCACCAGGCCCUCCCCCGGCUCCCCUCUGCACCCUUACCGUGUUCCCCUACAAUAUAUUGCCCCCAUUAAAAGUUUUUUUUAAUGGUUAUUUGUUUUUGAGAAAGAGAGCACAAGCAGAGGAGGGGCAGAGGAAGAAGGGGACAGGGGACCCGAAGCAGGCUCUGUGCUGACAGCAGACAGCCCAACAUGGGGCUCAAACUCAUGUAUCACAAGGUC
Molecule: long non-coding RNA, 983 nt
Filed under: Suricata suricatta (meerkat)
Lineage: Eukaryota; Metazoa; Chordata; Mammalia; Carnivora; Herpestidae
Description: lncRNA (ENSSSUG00005005262.1)
Source: RNAcentral